This 20-nucleotide small nuclear RNA is filed under the name Arabidopsis thaliana (thale cress). RNAcentral describes it as "snRNA_04027". The record is from RNAcentral. Lineage: Eukaryota; Viridiplantae; Streptophyta; Magnoliopsida; Brassicales; Brassicaceae.
GUGUAGUCUCUCUUUUGCUU